This 427-nucleotide ribosomal RNA is filed under the name uncultured bacterium. RNAcentral describes it as "partial 16S ribosomal RNA". It matches the Rfam family "Bacterial small subunit ribosomal RNA", at positions 355 to 774 of the family's 1533-position model. The record is from RNAcentral.
UGGGGAAUAUUGCACAAUGGGCGCAAGCCUGAUGCAGCCAUGCCGCGUGUAUGAAGAAGGCCUUCGGGUUGUAAAGUACUUUCAGCGGGGAGGAAGGCGAUAAGGUUAAUAACCUUGUCGAUUGACGUUACCCGCAGAAGAAGCACCGGCUAACUCCGUGCCAGCAGCCGCGGUAAUACGGAGGGUGCAAGCGUUAAUUGGCAUUACUGGGCGUAAAGCGCACGCAGGCGGUCUGUCAAGUCGGAUGUGAAAUCCCCGGGCUCAACCUGGGAACUGCAUUCGAAACUGGCAGGCUAGAGUCUUGUAGAGGGGGGUAGAAUUCCAGGUGUAGCGGUGAAAUGCGUAGAGAUCUGGAGGAAUACCGGUGGCGAAGGCGGCCCCCUGGACAAAGACUGACGCUCAGGUGCGAAAGCGUGGGGAGCAAACA